This 478-nucleotide ribosomal RNA is filed under the name uncultured bacterium. RNAcentral's name for it is "partial 16S ribosomal RNA". It matches the Rfam family "Bacterial small subunit ribosomal RNA", at positions 28 to 523 of the family's 1533-position model. The record is from RNAcentral.
GACGAACGCUGGCGGCGUGCUUAACACAUGCAAGUCGAACGGUAAGGCCCUCCGGGGUACACGAGUGGCGAACGGGUGGGUAACACGUGGGUGAUCUGCCCUGCACUUCGGGAUAAGCCUGGGAAACUGGGUCUAAUACCGGAUAGGACUCCGGACUGCAUGGUCUGGGGUGGAAAGCUUUUGCGGUGUGGGAUGGGCCCGCGGCCUAUCAGCUUGUUGGUGGGGUGAUGGCCUACCAAGGCGACGACGGGUAGCCGGCCUGAGCGGGUGACCGACCACACUGGAGCUGAGAUCAGGACGAGACUCCUACGGGAGGGAGCAGUGGGGAAUAUUGCACAAUGGGCGCAAGCCUGAGGACGCGACGCCGCGUGAGGGAGGACGGCCUUCGGGUCGUAAACCUCUUUCAGCAUCGCCGAAGCGAAAGUGACGUUAGGUGCAGAAGAAGGACCGGACAACUACGUGCCAGCCGCCGCCGUAG